This is a non-coding RNA of Mycena leptocephala, 110 nucleotides long. The record is from the annotation of a GenBank genome assembly. NCBI's taxonomy places the organism in Eukaryota, Fungi, Basidiomycota, Agaricomycetes, Agaricales, Mycenaceae.
GCAUUAAUGGGGUAGUGGUAACCUGGGUCGUUGCCAAAGUGAGACUCCAAUAUCUGCGGAUUGCGUAAUUGUAAUUCGACCCGCCGGGGGUUCGAUUCCCUCUUAAUGCA